CUUAAUUUCUUUCAUUUACUUUGUAGGCUAUUUUGUAGCAACAAAUGUUACAAGUAGUUGCUUAUAAUUUUUUCUUUGUCUUUUCUUAAACCAGGAGCUAAGUAAUUCUGUCUUAUCUAUUUGUAAUUGUGAUAUAAGAAAUUUUUAUCUUCAAGUGCUAAAUGGUAGUGGGAGAUAAAAAAAAUUACAUAGCAUUUAGUUAAUCUCUCUCAAGAUUUAUAUAACUAAAGUUUAUAUUAAGUUUUAGAUCAUAUGAUUGAAAAUUAAAUAUGAUGAAGUUAGGUUGACAAAGGACAGGCGAAUGAAGUUGAAGGCUGUAUCUACAAACAUUUGUUUAUGCUUCUAUAGACUAGUGGAUACUAGGUGGUUUGAUUAUAACAAGAACAAUAACUAAUUCAAAUAAAACCAAUAUGUUUACAUAGAUCCACAUUUGUAAAAUGCUAUGGCCAGUUGCAUAUUGUUGUUGCAUCAAGUCUUUUGACCCUUCAAACUGCUAAUCACCAACUGUUACACAUUUGGUCAAUUAUAUGAGUUCUUUGUCAAACUAUGAUGAAAGUACAACUGUUGUUUGGCUUAGCAUCUAAAUGCAAUGACUAAGUCAUCAGCUGUAUAUUUUGGAGUUCACCUCAGCCUCACAAUCCUUUAUGUGUCAGUAUGUCUACUAAAAUCCUAAAUUGUGUGUUAGUAGUAUAGUUUAUAUAUAAUAUUAAUAAUAAUAAUCUCUUCUUAGAAUUUGUAGAUAAAUAUAGGUUAAAAAGUUUAAACAGAUGUUUUGUUUAGCACCAUUAUAUAAUAAUAUAUUUCAGUUCUCUUGAGAAUAUUUUGUUUCUUUGUCACUAAGAUCCAUCACAAACCUGAUGUGUGGUAUAUAUAUGUAUCUGAAUUAUACAUAUGUCUGCCUAGUCUUUAUAAACUACACAACGAACACCCACAAAGUCACAAGUAUUAUUUGCCCUGUUAUAAGGAAAAUUAGUGUUACUUUUAUUUUUUAAGAAAUAUCCAAAUUUCCCUUGAACCACACCCAAUACCGUUUGUGAAGAAAGGAAAUGAAGAAAGACCAAGAUAAAAUGGAAUCAUAUUAGCAAGCAGAAGAUACAUAUAAAGUAAGAGAAGUGUGAUAGUAUCAGUAAAAGAAAGAUUAAAAAUUAUUUGUGUAAUGUCAAACUCUGUUUCUCUUCCUUUUGUCUCUCAUUAAUCUUUCAUCUUCUCUGGUAGAAUGGAAUACAGAGAGAAUAAGAGAAACACAUAAAUAGAAGGUCAUAGACAGGAGAGAAGAGGAGAAUGGUGGUAUCACAUGAAUAGAAAGGCAGAGGAGAGUGGUGGUGUGUUUUUAUUGCUAUUUUUUGUUGGAUAUCAGUGUUUGGAUAUUCUAGAAGUAGUAGCCAAAUGAACAUUUAAUCACACCCUACUGCUUAACAUAUGCAUAUGUUUUGUAUAGGUCAGCACGAGAAGUUUCACUUAUCUUGACUUGUAUGCAUGUGUAUAUGGACACACACAAACAGGAAAUAGAAAAUGGCAUUAUGGUGUAAUUUGGGAAAUCUUUCUCAAACCACACCAUAGUGUAUGUAGGAGAUGUCUACAUUCCAGCUAGACCUAGUAGAAAUAGCAACCAAAUUUUCUUUCUCCUUUAAAUCACACGCUAGUCUUAUGUUUGUAAGAAUAAACUGAGUAGAGUAACUUCUAUGCAGUAGCUAGAGGUGGUUGAAAUAGCAAUUGUAUAUUUUCCUAAAUUAACAUCCACCAUUUCAUACAUGUGUAAGUCAACAAAGAUUUCUAUAUGGUUGCUCAACCUGCUAGAAAUGGUGGUAGAUACAUGCACACUUAAGAUUCCCUAUAAUCUGGAUGUCAUAAACAUGUCAAGAAGAUUUGCUACAUACAAACUGAUUUUCCAUUUGACUGUAAUGUGUACUAAAAUCAGCAAUGGCUGCUUGGUAUUUUGUUGAUACUAUAACUGAACAUCUCUGUGCACCUCGGCUAAUAUGUGUGCAUGUCCAUGUAUACGAGUGUGUGUGUAUCUAUCUAUAUAUCUCUAUAUAUACACACAGAGAGGUAGGGGUGGGAGCAUACAUGUGUGCCUAUACAUAUAUAUGCAUACACUAUGUAUGUAUGUGUGUUUGUAUUAUCGUUGAUGAUAUCUAUUCAUGGCUCAAAUUUUAUUCCAUUGAAAUUAAUGUUUUGAGAUGGCUUAUAAGUCUAUUUUUGACUUAAAAGACUGUGCCAAUGGAGAUAUUGGAACCAACUGAGUCAUAGUAGUUGGCCUGCUUUUCCCUGUUGAUAUUCUCUGUUAGCCUUCCCUUUUUGGCUACUUUCAAGGAAGUAGCUUAUUCUCCUAUGGAGUAAAUGAUCAGAUGCAUCAGUAGUCCAUGAAGAAGGUGUGUGUAAGCUUUCUUUGGUUGAUCCUUGUAUUGCCACUUCUGAUUUCCAACUAAAUGCAUUUCUUCUUGCUAUCCACCACAAUCAUGAUACAUAUAUGUAUGUUGUCAUCUUCACAAAAGAUUCAAACAGCAUUGUUUUACUAAAAAGACAACAUUGGUGCUCUGUUCAGUACAACAGUGAAAAAUUGAAGGUUUUCUCUUCUCCCCAUUACAUUUUAACAUCUUAAAAAACUUUGA
RNAcentral lists this long non-coding RNA (2612 nucleotides) under Octopus sinensis (East Asian common octopus). Its description in RNAcentral is "uncharacterized LOC118765458". The record is from RNAcentral. Lineage: Eukaryota; Metazoa; Mollusca; Cephalopoda; Octopoda; Octopodidae.